This 246-nucleotide ribosomal RNA is filed under the name uncultured Rhodocyclaceae bacterium. RNAcentral's name for it is "partial 16S ribosomal RNA". It matches the Rfam family "Bacterial small subunit ribosomal RNA", at positions 1137 to 1382 of the family's 1533-position model. The record is from RNAcentral. Lineage: Bacteria; Pseudomonadati; Pseudomonadota; Betaproteobacteria; Rhodocyclales; Rhodocyclaceae.
CGUCUAAUGAGACUGCCGGUGACAAACCGGAGGAAGGUGGGGAUGACGUCAAGUCCUCAUGGCCCUUAUGGGUAGGGCUUCACACGUCAUACAAUGGUCGGUACAGAGGGUUGCCAACCCGCGAGGGGGAGCUAAUCCCACAAAGCCGAUCGUAGUCCGGAUCGCAGUCUGCAACUCGACUGCGUGAAGUCGGAAUCGCUAGUAAUCGUGGAUCAGCAUGUCACGGUGAAUACGUUCCCGGGUCUU